UUGAAAGGGAAACGAUUGAAGUCAGUCGUACCGACGGAAAAUCAACUUUUCGGGUGCCAAUCGUGGGUGACGUUGAGCCUCACGGUCUUCGUUGCUUGUGUUGUUGGUGCCUUUGGAGUGUACUUUUUCGUAUGGUAGGUCAACAUCGAUUUUGAUCGUCAUAAAAUGACGGGAGGAAUGUAGCUUCGGUCUCGGCUGAAGUGUUAUAGCCUCUGGUAGGUGUGACGUUUGGGAUUGAGGAUUGCAACGGAUACCUCUCGGGGCUACCUGUCUGGCCUCUGAUGAUUGCUAUGGUGCCGAAAGCUUGCUUACGGUCAUCAAAGUUGAUUGUCAAAAGGUUAGAACGGGUUAAAUUCGUUAAGGAUGUUGACGUA
RNAcentral lists this ribosomal RNA (374 nucleotides) under uncultured fungus. Its description in RNAcentral is "eukaryotic LSU rRNA". Lineage: Eukaryota; Fungi. The record is from RNAcentral.